Long non-coding RNA from Octodon degus (degu), 674 nucleotides. RefSeq lists it as uncharacterized. Lineage: Eukaryota; Metazoa; Chordata; Mammalia; Rodentia; Octodontidae. The record is from RefSeq and is a predicted model, not a curated record. The transcript has 2 exons.
CUCGCCCCGCCCCCUCCCGGCCCCGACCAGGGGACACUAGCUCCCGAACUGCAGCACCUGCGGGCCUCGGCAGCCCUCCGCCCUUGCCAGCUCCUCCAGCCUACCGGAUCUGGUUCCCGAGCGGUCCUCCGCCCUCACGACUCUGGGCGCGCCGUCUUACCCGAGGGCCCCAGCGCACCUGAGAACCUUGCUCACGACUCGUCUGGCGUCCGGCUCCCGACGUGAGGAGCAAGGGUUUCCGCCCAAGUAAGGGGACUCGAGGUGGGAUUUAAGCAGAGAAGUGGCUUUCAGAUUUGCGUUGCAAAAACCUGGUCCUGACUUCGACUGCGGGACGGGCGAGAGUCUAAGUGGAGGCAGACACAGCCCCCAAGCUAAUGCAUAGUGCAGGUCCUGCCAGACACUACUUAGAAGAAAAUUAGAUUGGGGCCGCAAACUGGGGACUCAUGCGACUGCAAGGCAACCUGAAGCUGUGAAGAAUGGACGUCAGCACAUUGGCCCUUCUCUGGAGUAGUCAGAGUCAAGGCUGAGAAACAACCACGCCCUCACUAUAGCUGUAUUUGUUUGCCUGGGGCUUAGCACUACUCUGCAGCACUUCUCAGCUUUAACCGCUGGACUUGGCUGUGCGUGGGCACACUUGCUCUUUAGUGAUUGAUUAAAAAUACACAUUCGUUCCA